UGGGGAAUAUUGGACAAUGGGGGCAACCCUGAUCCAGCCAUGCCGCGUGAGUGAUGAAGGCCCUAGGGUUGUAAAGCUCUUUUACCUGGGAAGAUAAUGACUGUACCAGGAGAAUAAGCCCCGGCUAACUUCGUGCCAGCAGCCGCGGUAAUACGAAGGGGGCUAGCGUUGUUCGGAAUCACUGGGCGUAAAGCGCACGUAGGCGGAUCUUUAAGUCAGGGGUGAAAUCCCGGGGCUCAACCUCGGAACUGCCCUUGAUACUGGAGAUCUUGAGUUCGGAAGAGGUGAGUGGAACUGCGAGUGUAGAGGUGAAAUUCGUAGAUAUUCGCAAGAACACCAGUGGCGAAGGCGGCUCACUGGUCCGAUACUGACGCUGAGGUGCGAAAGCGUGGGGAGCAAA
Molecule: ribosomal RNA, 400 nt
Filed under: uncultured bacterium
Lineage: Bacteria
Description: bacterial SSU rRNA
Rfam family: Bacterial small subunit ribosomal RNA
Source: RNAcentral